UUUAACUCCGAUUCUACAAACUUGACAAUUUUAGAUACCUCAAGAAGAACCAAACUCCAAACAACAUAAAGGCAUUUGUUUGCCUUCAACUACUAAUAAGCUGGGUCAACCCAACUCUAAUUUCCUGCUAAAUUUCUGAAGAAUGAUAUGGACUUCACAUCUAGGAAAAGACAAGUCUCCGAUGACAUCCCUGGAGCCAAUGCUGUGGAGUGUUUUGCUUAUAUUUUCUUCUAUUUUAUGAUGUCAGGUCUUACAUUCAA
Talpa occidentalis (Iberian mole) is the source of this 260-nucleotide long non-coding RNA. RefSeq lists it as uncharacterized. The record is from RefSeq and is a predicted model, not a curated record. Lineage: Eukaryota; Metazoa; Chordata; Mammalia; Eulipotyphla; Talpidae. The transcript has 4 exons.